UAAAUGAAGUAGAAAAAAUAC
This is a non-coding RNA of Caenorhabditis elegans, 21 nucleotides long. NCBI's taxonomy places the organism in Eukaryota, Metazoa, Nematoda, Chromadorea, Rhabditida, Rhabditidae. The record is from Ensembl.